Molecule: ribosomal RNA, 275 nt
Filed under: uncultured Bacteroides sp.
Lineage: Bacteria; Pseudomonadati; Bacteroidota; Bacteroidia; Bacteroidales; Bacteroidaceae
Description: partial 16S ribosomal RNA
Rfam family: Bacterial small subunit ribosomal RNA
Source: RNAcentral
CGGGAUUGAAGCUUGCUUCAAUUGCCGGCGACCGGCGCACGGGUGAGUAACGCGUAUCCAACCUUCCGUACACUCAGGGAUAGCCUUUCGAAAGAAAGAUUAAUACCUGAUGGUAUGAUGAGAUUGCAUGAUAGCAUCAUUAAAGAUUUAUCGGUGUACGAUGGGGAUGCGUUCCAUUAGGUAGUAGGCGGGGUAACGGCCCACCUAGCCAACGAUGGAUAGGGGUUCUGAGAGGUUGAACGGCCACACUGGAACUGAGACACGGCCCAAACUCC